Molecule: unclassified non-coding RNA, 516 nt
Filed under: Plectocephalus chilensis
Lineage: Eukaryota; Viridiplantae; Streptophyta; Magnoliopsida; Asterales; Asteraceae
Description: partial external transcribed spacer
Source: RNAcentral
GCAUUCUGGGGGUCGUUUUGGCUUUUGGUUGCUUGCUUGGCCUUUUGGUUGGGUGGGUCGCUACUAGUCGGAUGGCUUUCGGGAAUGUCGACCGGGGAGGUGCAUGAGUGGUGUUUGGUUUGUUACGGGUGGUUGGCUGUCUGCUUGCGCAGCAACGUCCAUGCGUGCAUACCUCUUCAGUUUUGUGGCAAGACUUGGUUUGUCUUGAGCAUAUUGUGGGUUUCUUGUGUUGCAUACCUAAUCGAUGGUAAUGUGUGGGUUUUAUGAUGUUCCUUUUCGUCAUGCGUCGCUCAUGCGAUGUGGGAUGAACCUUGAAGCGAUCUUUGUGGUCCAUAUUUUUGUUGCAUUUGCAACGAUGAUCUGGCUUGUGAAGCAUCGUUUGGUUUCUUGCUUACGGAACUUGAUGUGGGCAUGGGUUCUUUAAGRAUCCUGAAUUUGCCCUCGUUAAGCUAUUGGCUUCUCUAAAACGAUAGCCUACCAUGUCUUGACUUGUCUUUUCAUGGUGGGUUGCAUCGA